AUUGAACGCUGGCGGCAGGCCUAACACAUGCAAGUCGAGCGGCUGAAGGGAGCUUGCUCCUGGAUUCAGCGGCGGACGGGUGAGUAAUGCCUAUGAAUCUGCCUGGUAGUGGGGGAUAACGUCCGGAAACGGGCGCUAAUACCGCAUACGCCCUGAGGGAGAAAGUGGGGGAUCUUCGGACCUCACGCUAUCAGAUGAGCCUAGGUCGGAUUAGCUAGUUGGUGGGGUAAAGGCCUACCAAGGCGACGAUCCGUAACUGGUCUGAGAGGAUGAUCAGUCACACUGGAACUGAGACACGGUCCAGACUCCUACGGGAGGCAGCAGUGGGGAAUAUUGGACAAUGGGCGAAAGCCUGAUCCAGCCAUGCCGCGUGUGUGAAGAAGGUCUUCGGAUUGUAAAGCACUUUAAGUUGGGAGGAAGGGCAGUAAGUUAAUACCUUGCUGUUUUGACGUUACCAACAGAAUAAGCACCGGCUAACUUCGUG
Molecule: ribosomal RNA, 484 nt
Filed under: uncultured bacterium
Lineage: Bacteria
Description: partial 16S ribosomal RNA
Rfam family: Bacterial small subunit ribosomal RNA
Source: RNAcentral